UACAGAGGUCUCAAGCGUUGUUCGGAUUCAUUGGGCGUAAAGGGUGCGUAGGCGGCGCGGUAAGUCGGGUGUGAAAUCUCGGGGCUUAACUCCGAAACUGCAUUCGAUACUGCCGUGCUUGAGGACUGGAGAGGAGACUGGAAUUUACGGUGUAGCGGUGAAAUGCGUAGAUAUCAGGAGGAACACCGGUGGCGAAGGCGGUUCUCUGGGCCUUACCUGACGCUGAGGAGCGAAAGCAUGGGGAGCGAACAGG
Molecule: ribosomal RNA, 253 nt
Filed under: uncultured bacterium
Lineage: Bacteria
Description: partial 16S ribosomal RNA
Rfam family: Bacterial small subunit ribosomal RNA
Source: RNAcentral